RNAcentral lists this ribosomal RNA (469 nucleotides) under uncultured bacterium. Its description in RNAcentral is "partial 16S ribosomal RNA". It matches the Rfam family "Bacterial small subunit ribosomal RNA", at positions 28 to 508 of the family's 1533-position model. The record is from RNAcentral.
GACGAACGCUGGCGGCGUGCUUAACACAUGCAAGUCGAACGGAAAGGCCCUGCUUUUGCGUGGUGCUCGAGUGGCGAACGGGUGAGUAACACGUGAGUAACCUGCCCUUGACUUUGGGAUAACUUCAGGAAACUGGGGCUAAUACCGGAUAGGAGCUCCUGCUGCAUGGGGGGGGUUGGAAAGUUUCGGCGGUUGGGGAUGGACUCGCGGGUUAUCAGCUUGUUGGUGUGGUAGUGGCUUACCAAGGCUUUGACGGGUAGCCGGCCUGAGAGGGUGACAAGCCAUAUUGAGUCUGAGAUACGGCCGAGACUCGUACGGGAGGCAGCAGUGGGGAAUAUUGCACAAUGGGCGGAGGGCUGAUGCAGCAGCGCCGCGUGCGGGAUGACGGUGUUAGGGUUGAAAACCGCAUUCGCCUGUGACGAAGCGUGAGUGACGGUAAUGGGUAAAGAAGCACCGGCUAACUACGGGC